CCAGUACUUGCAGGUAUUCAUUACCAACUUCCACUACUAUAUGCAUCAACUAUGUAAUCUCAUCACAUAUGCUUUGUUAAUUGCAACUACAGAGAAAUUGAUGAACAAACAUCAAAAUUAGUUUGCCAAUUACAAACCAUAUAGUAUGUCCUCUGCUUAAAAGGUAAUAACACAUGUACAUGAUCUACAAUUCUUUGUUGGCAUACUAUCAGUAGGAGAACAAGAAUAUUUCCAGGAAACUGAUUGAUCCAGACAACAUCCUUCAAAACAAUGUGGUACCUGACAUGUGUACAUUAAAAUUAUCGUCAGCAACUCAGAAUUUCCGGACAAGUAAAAUAAGGUGCUUACAAGAUGUCCUCACUAUCAUGUACUGCUUACAUACUUUGUGAUAACCCCGACGAGGAAUAAAAUUCUAAGAAAGUUAAAUAUGAUUGGAUUUCGACUAUCAAUAUGAUACUAGCCCAUCCAAGUGCACGGGUCAACUAUCAAAAUACUUGAUACUCUUUGCAUGUUGUUGUUCUUGGACAAAAUGCUUACAUUUUUCCCUCAUAUUUUUCAGGAUUAACUACCUGCAGUCAGCAUGCGUCGAACUCGCAAUGGACUUGACAAAAACAACAAUAGGUAUUCGUUACCACAAUAUAAAAACAAUUUUAUACCCAUUAAUUUACCUAGAUUAUUAAAAUGGCACCAAAAUCUAAUGCAGCAAUGAAAGACCUGACAAAGCAACCUCCAAACUUGCCACUCUACAAUCUAAUGAUAAUCAACCAGACAUCAUUAGAGCAGCAAUGAAGGAUGCUGCACGGAAAAGGAAAGAAAUACUUCAGCAGAAAAGGAAUCAGGUGCUUAUAAGAUGUCCUCACUAGCAUGUACUUAAUUUUUUUUGUGAUGUUCCCAAUGAGGAAUAGAUUUUAAUUUCUACAGUCAAGGUUAAAUAUUCAGUGAGAAAUAUCACAUGGGGUACAUGCCAGAUCUUUGGCUCCAGAAAGGAAAUACUGCUAACUUCCAUAUACUUAAUUCUAUCUGCAUGUUGUUGCUCUCAAACAAAGCGUUACAAUUUUUUCCCUCAUUUCAGGAUUCACUAGCUGCACUCAACUUGCGUCGAAGUAACGGUGGACCAAAUCAAAACAACAGAAGGUAUUCAUUACCCCAAUACCAAAAAAUAAUUAUAUAGACAUUAAUUUACCUGGAUUAUUCAAAUGAUACCAAAAUAUAAUGCAGCAAUAUAUUGGGUGAUCAAACAAUACAAAUACCUGAGCAAGGAACCUCGCAGCUUGCGACAGUAGAAUCUAAUGAUAGUCAAUCAGAUAUUAUCAGAGCAGCAACGAAGGAAGCUAGACGAAAAAGGAAAGAGAUACUCCAGCUGAAAAGGGAAAGGAAACGAAUAAGGACGGAAAAGGACAAUAAUGGCUGUGAAGUAUCAAAUAUAGCAAAGGAUGUCACUCAAGUUUCAAAUUUUGGAAAACCAAAUUGCGUUUGUGAAUUUUGCAAUGUCAUUAUGUGGCAUGGAGAGAGAAGCACAAACACACGUAACAUCACAGUUCCAAAAUUUGGUCUCUGCUGCAAGGAAGGGAAAAUUAAAUUACCACCACUGAAGCAAGCUCCGUUGUAUCUCCGACAGCUACUACGUUACAAUGAAAGAGGAGAGUCAUCCAAUUUUCGCCAGAACAUCAGGUUGUACAACUCCAUGUUCGCGUUCACUUCAAUGGGAGGAAAGGUUGACUAUGAAAUUAAUAAGCAGACACCUGGACCAUAUGUUUUCCGUUUGAAUGGCCAAAACUACCAUCAGAUUGGCACUUUACUUCCUAAAGAUGACGUGAUGAAACCAAAAUUUGCCCAAUUGUACAUACAUGACACAGAAAAUGAAGUGCGUAACAGGAUUACUGCAUCAACUUCAAUGGAGAGUAAGACAAAGCCAGAUGAAAACAUUGUCAAAGGUCUACUAGAGAUGCUAGAUGAGCACAAUGUUUUAGUCAAAUCGUUUCGUAUGGCAAGGGACAGGUUCGAAAACCGAGAAAUUAAAGAUGUAAGACUAAGAUUGAUCAACAAAAGGUCAAAAGAUGGACGGCAAUACAACCUCCCAUCUGCCUCAGAAGUUGCAGCACUAAUUAUCGGGGAACAAGAUGGAGAAAAUAAUGAAUUUGAUAUAAUAAUUGAGACCAAAGACAGAAUGUUACAGAGGAUUUCAGAGUUGCACCCAAGCUAUAUGUCAAUGCAAUACCCCUUGCUUUUUCCAUAUGGAGAAGAUGGGUUCAGACCAGAAAUAGAGUAUCAAAAAAAGAGAGGCGACAAGUGUAAGAGAAAGUAUGUAACAAUACUGGAGUUUUAUGCAUAUCGCAUCCAACAACGUCUUAACCAAGCAACAACCUUGCAAAUGAGUGGACGUUUGUUCCUACAGUUCUUAGUUGAUGCAGCAACGUGCAUUGAACAAUGGAGACUAAAUUGGUACAGGACAAACCAAGGUAAGCUGAGGACAGAACUAUACAAAGGACUGCAUGAUGCAAUAGAAAAUGGAGAUACACGAACUGAACAAGUUGGCCAAAGAAUCAUACUACCCUCAACAUAUAAUGGUAGCCCUAGAAAUAAGCAGCAAAACUACCAAGAUGCCAUGGCGAUUUGUCGUUGGGCUGGCUAUCCUGAUCUCUUCAUCACUUUUACAUGCAAUCCGAAAUGGCCGGAAAUACAGG
RNAcentral lists this long non-coding RNA (2684 nucleotides) under Triticum aestivum (bread wheat). Its description in RNAcentral is "long non-coding RNA (TAES_LNC022213)". Lineage: Eukaryota; Viridiplantae; Streptophyta; Magnoliopsida; Poales; Poaceae. The record is from RNAcentral.